GGCCGCGUAGCUCAGCGGUAGAGCAUCUGAUUCCAGUCCAGAAGGUCAUCCGUUCAAAUCGGGUCGUGGUCA
RNAcentral lists this transfer RNA (72 nucleotides) under Pestalotiopsis fici W106-1. RNAcentral's name for it is "tRNA-Trp (CCA) (tRNA-Trp-CCA-1-1)". It matches the Rfam family "tRNA". From Rfam's summary of the family: Transfer RNA (tRNA) molecules are approximately 80 nucleotides in length. Their secondary structure includes four short double-helical elements and three loops (D, anti-codon, and T loops). Further hydrogen bonds mediate the characteristic L-shaped molecular structure. tRNAs have two regions of fundamental functional importance: the anti-codon, which is responsible for specific mRNA codon recognition, and the 3' end, to which the tRNAs corresponding amino acid is attached (by aminoacyl-tRNA synthetases). tRNAs cope with the degeneracy of the genetic code in two manners: having more than one tRNA (with a specific anti-codon) for a particular amino acid; and 'wobble' base-pairing, i.e. permitting non-standard base-pairing at the 3rd anti-codon position. The record is from RNAcentral. Lineage: Eukaryota; Fungi; Ascomycota; Sordariomycetes; Amphisphaeriales; Sporocadaceae.